CAUUGACCUUUGGAACUCGUGGGAGACAAGUGUCCAGAAAAUCUGAAAGGCAGAAUAACAGGGACAUUCCAUCUCGAGACUGCGGACACACCACCUCGAACUUGGCUACUUGAACUUCAUCUGGUCGGAAAACAUCAAGAAAAGAGAAUUCAUCGAGUAAAGUCGGUGCAGAAGAAUUUCGAGCCCCAGCUUCUUUAAUUUAUCAAAAUCUUCCGUGAAUCAUGAACUCUUGCGUUGUCAUAUAAGACCAUUCUGAUUUACCAACGCACAUUUUGAUGAACUGUGCGGUUUUCGAAGACCAUUUUCGUUUUUUACAUAAAAUAUCUAUCUAAUAAAUAUACCUAUUAUAUUUGUAUUAACUCAAUACCAAAGUAGUAAGACGUACUUUCUGUCUAUAUAUUUUUUAUUGUUAAAUAUUACGUUUUUGGUCUACAAUGAUUUUCACCUUGAAUUCUACCUCUUUCACGGUCAGAGUCAACAUGGAAAGGCACUUUAACUCAUUUUAAAUACACUGAAAGGUAUGUGCGAUGCUUUACAAACUUUUCGGACCUGUAAACAAACACAGGUUCUUCCAUGAUGCUCUUUAACAUCUUUAAAGACAAAAUCAUCCAAUCUCAAAUUUAAUUAUUGCAUUUAUCCAAAUAAUAGGUAUUUUAAAAUAAAGAUUUAAUCGUUGUUGUUACGAUCGAAUUGUGAUUUAAUCUAUUUACAACUAUUCAAAACUAAUCAAAUAAAAAUUCGAUAAGAUAAAAUAGCUUAAAAUCUAUAUCAUUGCUACACUGAACUUGUGUAUAUUUGUGUUAAGUGCAAACAGUUUGUUAGAAUUAAAAUUGAUUGUCCAAGAAAAUAAAUUGUUUUUAUUGAAUGGAGAUAGGAAUUUACCAUGAUCCUUUCUGCAGAAAACUCCGCAAUGUCCUAUAAUACUCAACUCUGUAAAACAGGGAGCAGAAUAUUGUAACUACACAGAUAGAGGAAAAAUAACUAUUUUGUGCUUAGUGGCCGUUAAUCAGGUUAAAGUGUAAGCUCAAAUAUAUUUGGUAGGUAUUUUGUUGUUUUGGCAUAAAAUCUUGUUUCUCUGUACGGGAAACGUGAUACGACGUAUACGUACAAAGAACCUUAUCAAUGUUUGGCAUGUUUUGCCUUGCUAUCAAAAAGAUCAGUUUUUUGAGCCAUUGAAGAAUGGAAGGAUUGUUGUACCGCCUGGACUUUUGCGAUAAUACAUUUACUCUCGACGUCUGAAUGUUAUCAUGACUGAAAAAUACGCGGAUACAAGUCCUUAAUAAAAUACAAACUUAUAAAAUAUAAUUUUAGUUUCGUUCAUUGUAUACCGUCAAUAAUAAUUUAACUUUGGGAAACAUUUAGUGAUUUGAUUAUUUCUAAAUUGACCCUUAUGUGAAAAUAACAUUUUUUUAACCAGAAUGUGGAUAUACAGUCUUAGAAAAUAAAUAAAUAAAACAAUUAUUCUGUUGAAAUUAUAAGUAAACAGAUUGAAUUUGUAAUUUUUGGAACCCAUACUCUUGGAGUAUGUUGGAAGAAGAUUAAUCUGUAAAUAAUAAUAUAGAGUGGAAUUUGUGGAAUUAGGACGUUUAAAAGCUUGUUAAAAUAUUUUUCUUAAAACGAUUGU
Molecule: long non-coding RNA, 1624 nt
Filed under: Cimex lectularius (bed bug)
Lineage: Eukaryota; Metazoa; Arthropoda; Insecta; Hemiptera; Cimicidae
Description: uncharacterized LOC112127840, transcript variant X3
Source: RNAcentral